CAGCCGUAAACUAUGCGCGUUAGGUGUAUCGGUGACCACGAGUCACCGAGGUGCCGAAGGGAAACCGUGAAACGUGCCGCCUGGGAAGUACGGUCGCAAGGCUGAAACUUGAAGGAAUUGGCGGGGGAGCACCACAACGGGUGGAGCCUGCGGUUUAAUUGGACUCAACGCCGGACAACUCACCGGGGACGACAGCAAUAUGUAGGCCAGGCUGAAGACCUUGCCUGAAUCGCUGAGAGGAGGUGCAUGGCGUAG
RNAcentral lists this ribosomal RNA (255 nucleotides) under uncultured archaeon. RNAcentral describes it as "partial 16S ribosomal RNA". It matches the Rfam family "Archaeal small subunit ribosomal RNA", at positions 748 to 1002 of the family's 1478-position model. The record is from RNAcentral.